This is a long non-coding RNA of Mirounga angustirostris (Northern elephant seal), 5101 nucleotides long. RefSeq lists it as uncharacterized. The transcript has 3 exons. NCBI's taxonomy places the organism in Eukaryota, Metazoa, Chordata, Mammalia, Carnivora, Phocidae. The record is from RefSeq and is a predicted model, not a curated record.
GCGCUGCUGCCCCGCGGCCCGCGGCCGCCCAUCCGCCCCGGCCCGGGGACGCAGGCAGGGAGGGCGUGCGAGGCCCGGCCGCGUCCGUGCGCCCCGCCGCCGCCGCCGCCCCCUCGGGCCGCGCAGUUAAAGGGACCGCCGGCCCCGGGUUGAGCGCGCCCGCCGGGGGGCGCCCGAGGGCGGGCGGGGCCUGACGUCAUCGGGCCGCUCGCGGCGCAGCGCGAGGCGGGGUUGCGCACGCGCGGAAGGGCUGGAGGGCGGGGCGUGCGCGUGGGUGGCGGGGCCGCGGUGUCGGCGCCCGCGCAGAACUCCCUCCGCUCUCCGGGGCCCCGCCCCUGACCCCUGCCUCGGGCCCCGGGUGCCCGACCCCGCGCGCGGGCACGCCCACAAUGUGCUCGGGCCGUAGCCCCUGCUGGGCCUAGGGUCUCGGCCCGUGCGCGGACAGGGGCGCGUCCCCCGGAGGGAGGCGGCUGAGGACCCUCCGGAAGCAGCCCUGCUGUCAGAAGGGAGACCCCGCCCCCGGCAACGCCGAGGCCCCCAGGGGUCGACUACAGAACCCAGAAGGUUCCGGAGAACCGGAGGGCUCCGGGGUCCGUGGUGCUCAAAGUCGGGGGCGCCCUGGUCACAUCCGCGGGCAGCAGGGGGGCAGCACGGGAAGCUGAGGAUACUUCGGUCCGGGCCGGGAGCCAAAGACAACUCGGUCUCUGCGCCCCGGCGCCCACUGCGUGCUCGCGCGCCCUCUACCAGGCCCCACGGAGGCUCCGCGAAACACGGGCCAAGUGCCUGCGGGUGCUCGCGUGGAGGCGGGGUGCGAGUGUGAACAUGUGUAUGUGCGGCUGAAGGUAACAGCGGAGGUCACCGGCAACGGCGCGCACGCACGAUGCACAGAGGUGCCCGGGGAAGGUGGUGCUGGCAGCAGGUGAAGAUGACCCCCACCCCCACCACCGCCUCUGUCGAUCCACCAGCCUGGGGUCCUGUGUGGACCAGGGGAGACCCACAGCAGCGCCCCUCGGGCUGUGGAGGCUCCAACCACACGCUGACCCCACUGGAGGUGGAGGGUCUCCCCCAUCCCAGGAGGAAGACUUGAGGCCAGUAGAGAGAAUCCCACAUUGGUGAGAGUGAAGAACAGGAGAGUCUCUAGGAUAGGACCCAAGAAUGAUGAAGGUGGAGGAUGCAUGAUGCCCCUUGCGACCUGUCCCCAGCACUCCCCCUGAAGCUGGUUGGAGCCUGGAGCUGUCCUAGCUGCCUAGUCAUGACCAUCCUUGGGCAGUGGAUCAGCACAGGAAAAAGCCCAUCAGUCCACCACUGACUGGAAGAGCCAGACUUUGAAGGAAAGCCCCUGAGCCCAGGCUAGGGACCAUCCCCAGGUCAGCCUAGGCCAAGGGCACUGACCUCCAUUCCCCUAGGCUCUGGUGGGGAGAGUGGACAGGGCUCUGUGAGGCGGGCACCCGCUCAGCAAAGCCUGCACCGUCUCCCCUUGGGUCUCGGUUUCCCCAGAGGUAAUCUGAGGAAGCCAGGUAGUGGCUGGCUCUCUGCUGGGCAUCUAGGGGAGGGAGAUAGGCCCCACCCUGAGAGCUCCCAGGGGACCAGCAUCCCCCAGGCCAGACAUGAAUGACUGCUGGUCUCACAGAUGUAGGGUCUGAUGCCCCAUCUGUGCUCUGCCCCCCCCCCCAAGCCUCUCUUUCUCACCUGGCUGCCCUAGUCCUAUGAGAGAGGCUGGUAGCCAGAGGCCAGAGCUGACUCUGUGGUCAGGCAGGCACACUGCAACGGGGAGUGAGUUUGUGGUCCGAGCAGUGCAGCUACUGUGGGGCCAGGGGUCACAGGCUGGGAGGGAGGCACAUUUUCAAGCAAGCCACAGCUCCCUGGCCCAGCCUCCCUCCCUGCCUUUGCCACUGUGGGACCCUUGCAGGUGUGUAGUGAGGAGACAGCCACACUGAGGUGCUGUCUGAGCAUCUCACAUCCAGAGUCUGGACAUUCAGAUAAAAGCCUGAACCUAGGAUGCCCACCACAAACUCCUGCCUUGUGUCUCCUGCGGUAUCUUUUAAAAUGACCACUCAGAAUUGAGCCUACAAAAAAUUAGUGACCACCAUCCCAACCACCUUAUAAGUAAUAGGAGUAUGCUACCCUGCUGUCUCUCUCCUGAUCUGGAAUGGAGAACUGCCCUUCUGAAGCCUUGCUCACCGCACCCCUGUCCUGGGAUCUGAGGCGUGGCUGGACAAGGCAGGGGUCAGCCAACCAGCCCCGCUAAGAAUCUGGUUCUGGCUUCUGCUCCCGGGGACUCGGACAUUCCAGGCAGCCAGGCUCACUGGGAGGAGAAACCACAGGCACUCAGAGACGCCACCAGACACAGAGACGCGUGCUCACGCCCACUGUUCUGUCACUCGAGAAAUAUUCGCUGAGCACCUACUGUGUGCCAGGGAACUGGAAGCUGUCGGAGGGAGGCAGGCAGACGGCAGGCCGGCUCACGGACGGAUAAGAUGGUUUUCAUCCCCGGGAGAAGUGUCAAGAGACGGAAACAGGGCAGACUCUCCCUCCACAGGACUGACCGGGACGGCCUCCGAGGGAGUGACACCCACAGUGUGGGCAGGAGCCGAAACAAUGCCGGAAGGGCCUUUUGCACCCACAUGACGAAGUGCUGGGACGCCACUCUCCGACAGGGUCCCCGUCCUGCUGCCUGCAGUCAUCUGGCCACUCUGAAAGGGCCUUGCAGGGACCAUGUGGGAGGCCCCCAGCCAAGAGCCAAGAAGAAAGUGGACCUCAGGCCUACAACAACAAGGAACUGGACUCCGCCCGCCCCCCACAUGAGCGUGGGAGAGGGCCGCGCUCAGGCCCGGAUGCAGCCCCGGCAGACACCGAUUUCACCUGGGAGGCCCUGAGCCGAGGGCCCAGAAAACUCGCAUCCACAUGUCUGACCCAGGGAAGCCGUGUAAUAGUGAAUGUGUUGCAUUAAGCUGCUCAAUUUGUGGCAAUUUGUGGUACAGCGAGAGAAGACAAACAUAACUAUCUCCGGAACAGAGCGAGGCCAGGGCUUAACCCAGCAAAAGGCACACAUUUCACAAGGAGAAGGGACUGGUUCCUCAGUUUGGGGCUGGCUGCUGGCUGCAGCAUGUGGUGUAGGGCAGGCCACGAGGCUGAGGCCACAUGGAGAGCCACGUCACAGACUGCAAGCUCGCCCAACUUCACUGACAAGUUUCUGCCAGUUGUGACCAUUCUGGGAAGGGCCACUUGCAUAUGCAUUGGCCCUUCCUCUGGAGGCCUGAGGGCUUGCACACCUUGGCCUCUCAUGCCACGAGGCAGGGAACUCCGCACAUCCGGGGUCUGAAGAGCUGAGUGUGUCCCUCAGGAGAGCUGUUGACUGUGAGGGCUCUGGCUGCCUUCUGGUGAGGACCACAGGUCGAUGACAUGUCAGGUCGGGCUGAGAGGUCGUCGAGGCAUUGAGACACUGAUUUGAGAAGACAGGACAGGCACCCGCCUGGCUCGGUCGAUGGACCGUGUGCUCUCCAUCUCCAGAUUGUGAGUUUGAGCCUCGAGUUGGGUGUAGAGAGGACUUAAAAUAAAAUAGGGGUGCCUGGGUGAUUCAGUCGUUUAAGUGUCCGACUCUUAAUUUCAGCUCAGGUCAUGAUCUCAGGGUAGAGGGCUCUGCACUCAUUGGAGAGUCUGCCUGAGAUUCUCUCUCCCUAUGCCCCCACCAACUCAUGCCCUCGCUCUCUCUCAAAAAAAAAAAAAAAAAAAAGCUUAAAAAAAUAAGCAAAAAUACAGACAAGAAUAUGGAAAUAUAGAAACAUUGUGUCAUGGACCAGCCAACUUUCCUUUUUUUUUUUUUUAAGAUUUUAUUUAUUUGACAGAAGAGAGAGAGAGCGCACAAACUGGGGGAGUGGAAGAGGGAGAAGCAGGCUUCCCGCGGAGCAGGGAGCCCGAUGCGGGGCUCGAUUCCAGGACCCUGGGAUCAUGACCUCAGCCAAAGGCAGACACUUAACAACUGAGCCACCCAGGCACCCCGUGCACGUGAUUCCUUUGAGCAUCUCAGCUUUACAUUGAGCGUGGGGUCGAGCUCUCCCAGCAGGAAUGCUGCAGGAGGAAGGGGUUCUCCUGUGUGUCGGGCUGGGCUGGGUUGGUCAGUGGUGUCAUGCCCACGACACACUGUCCCUUGGCCAUCUCGAAGCCUUGACCUGGCCACAGUAAUCUUCCUGCAGUGCUCUCAACAGGGAAACCAGCACCCCGCCUCCCUCUGCAGUGUGCCUCGGGCCCAUGCAGCCUGGAAGGUUCCCAUCACCUCGCAUGCCCAGCACCCCCACCCAUACUCUCACGUACUCUGCCUCAUCAUGUGGAUCUUGGGCUAAGCUGAAUGUGUUCCUAGGCUGCCUACUUCGAGCCAUGGUGGGGAUCAGCCCGAGACCCACAGGGAGGUCCCAAAGAAGCUGAGUCUAGAUGAGAGACAUGCUCUUCCUGAUCCAAAGAGGAAGCAACUGGUACAAAGGGGCCCCAGAGCCCUGACGUGGUCCCUUGAGACAGUGUGGCAGGUGUCCAGGUAUGGUCACGUGGCAGCUUGUCCAAGAACGCUGUUUCCCACAGUAUCGACAGUCAAAAGUCCCUGAAACAGCCACUCAUAUACCGGCCCUUUUGAUCUUUCUUCCAGAACAGUCCAUUUCUGAUUUGCAGUUUGUAGCAGGUAAGUGUGAGGAAAGCAGAAACCACCACUGGCUCACCAAGCUGGACAGAACAUGCAAAGGUCAGAGGGCAAAAUCUCUCUUGAGGUGCAACAUACUCUCCAAGGAUUUGGUCAACAGUGACUCUGAGCAUUACAACACUUAACGGGCUGGGAGGACACUAAAAACUACCAGGCGCUUUUAGUUGGCCCCGUGGUGUCCUGACUGCCCAGCAAGAGCGCGGAAACAGAAAUGAAGCUCGUCUGUGGACAAGACUACGCCAGUCCUUCGCUUCAACAGAAACCGGCAAAGCUGCUCAAACACAGCAACGGUAACAGCACGACUUCUGUAUAUAAACAGCCUAGGAAGAAGGAACAUUUCUUACUUGACUUUCCCAUCACUCAGGCCUCAUACUAUGUGAUGAGGUGAUUAAAAUGUUAAUAAAUCAUUUACUU